GACGAACGCUGGCGGCGUGCUUAACACAUGCAAGUCGAACGGUGAAGGGGCCUGCUUUUGUGGGCCCUGGAUGAGUGGCGAACGGGUGAGUAACACGUGAGUAACCUUCCCCCUUCUUCUGGAUAACCGCAUGAAAGUGUGGCUAAUACGGGAUAUUCUGGGUCUGUCGCAUGAUGGGUCUGGGAAAGAUUGCGCCUUUGGGUGUUUUUGGUGGGGGAUGGGCUCGCGGCCUAGCAGCUUGUUGGUGGGGGGCUGGCCUACCAAGGCGGUGGCGGGUAGCCGGCCUGAGAGGGGGGACGGUCACACUGGGACUGAGACACGGCCCAGACUCCUACGGGAGGCAGCAGUGGGGAAGAUUGCACAAUGGGCGCAAGCCUGAUGCAGCGACGCCGCGUGAGGGAGGGAGGCCUUCGGGUUGUAAACCUCUUUCGCCAGUGAAGCAGGCCUGCUCCUUGUGGGUGGGUUGACGGUAGCUGGAGAAGAAGCGCCGGCUAACUACGUG
This 502-nucleotide ribosomal RNA is filed under the name uncultured bacterium. Its description in RNAcentral is "partial 16S ribosomal RNA". It matches the Rfam family "Bacterial small subunit ribosomal RNA", at positions 28 to 507 of the family's 1533-position model. The record is from RNAcentral.